Molecule: long non-coding RNA, 287 nt
Filed under: Lathyrus oleraceus (garden pea)
Lineage: Eukaryota; Viridiplantae; Streptophyta; Magnoliopsida; Fabales; Fabaceae
Description: Pisum sativum (pea) long non-coding RNA (PSAT_LNC009796)
Source: RNAcentral
ACAAAAGUAUAAUUCUCAUCUAUUCAUAAUCACAUUAUUCCAUUCAUUUCAUCAUUACAUAAUCAUCAUACAUACAUCGUGUAUACAAAGUCAAAUAAAAAUUAAGAUUUUGCAACUAAAAGAUAAAUUUUGAUUACACUUGUUUUGCCUAACUACCUUUUCAUAUCCAUGCAUUCAUACAUCAUCCAAAUCUAACAAAAAUUCACAUGUAUCACAACAAACCAGAGAUUGCAAUUUAGACAUUUUCAUUUCAAAUUCAAACUCAAUUCAAAUUAAACUCAAAUUUU